CCGUCCCGCGGCCGCCGCUCCCGGGGCGCCUCCUCCUCGCUGCUGCCGCCGCUGCUGCCGCCGCUGGGCCGGGGCCGCCGCCGCCCGCCGCCCUGAGGGCCCGGCCGCCGCCGCCCGCCGCCCUGAGGGCCCGGGCCCGCAGCGUCCCAGGGCGGCCCCGCCGCCUUCCUGCGGGGCAUGGCUGCGGGGCCGCGUCAGCCGCCGCACCGGCAGCGACACACAGACAGACAGACACCGACACACAGACAGACACCCCCAGACAGACACACACACACCGGGACACACAGGCGAGAGGUGCAGCAUAAAGAAAGCGGCGGCGCGGGGCCUUUGCACUAUUUUUGGUGGCGGUUCCUGUUGCAGGAAAAGAAAAAAAAAAAAAAAAAAGAAAAAAAAAAGCCGGAGUGCGGGCGAGCGGGACAAUACAAAACAGAACCACAUGGAUGGGCAGGAAAAGGGGAAAGGGAGAGGAGGCCGGAUCCCGCGCGGCCGCGAGGGAGCGGCCCCGAGCCGAGCAGCUCCAUCUUUAGGGCUGGAAGACUCCGGGCCAGCCCCGCAGCCCGGAGCCUCCCCGCCCUCCGCAUCCCGUGCGGCUUUGGGACGGGGAUCCGGGGCUUUGGGGUUUAGGGAGGGGGGAAAUGGGAUUUUUAUUUUUUUUCCUAGAGGAAAAGUGGGUGUAGGGUGUUGGUGGUAGGGGGGUAAUGCAUGGAUUCCAUGGGGUGUGCUCCCAAAAAAUCCAAAGUGAACGGAUUCUAUGGGGUUCGUUCCUAGGAAAUUAUGAGUGUAAGUAUUCCGUGGGGUUCGUUCCCAAGAAAUAAUAAAUGUCAAUAUUCCGUGAGGUUUGUUCCCAAAAAAUAAUAAAUGUAAGUAUUCCAUGGGGUUUGUUCCCAAAAAAUAAUAAAUGUAAGUAUUCCGUGGGGUUCGUUCCCAAGAAAUAAUAAAUGUAAGUAUUCCGUGGGGUUUGUUCCCCCCCAAAAAAAAGGUAGAGAUUCCGUGGGGUUUGUUCCCAAAAAAUAAUAAGUGUAAGUAUUCCGUGGGGUUUGUUCCCCAAAAAUAAUAAAUGCACUGACUCCAAAGGGUUUGUUCCCCCCUAAAAAUAAAUGCACGGAUUCCAUGGGUUAUGCUCCCAAAAAUCAUAAGUGCACAGAUUCUGUGGGGUUCGUUCCCAAGAAAUAAUAAAUGUAAGUAUUCCGUGAGGUUUGUCCCCAAAAAAUAAUAAAUGUCAGUAUUCCGUGAGGUUUGUUCCCAAAAAAUAAUAAAUGUAAGUGUUCCGUGGGGUUUGUUCCCAAAAAAUAAUAAAUGUAAGUAUUCCGUGGGGUUUGUUCCCAAAAAAUAAUAAAUGUAAGUAUUCCGUGGGGUUUGUUCCCCAAAAAUAAUAAAUGUAAGUAUUCCGUGAGGUUUGUUCCCAAAAAAUAAUAAAUGUAAGUAUUCCGUGAGGUUUGUUCCCAAAAAAUAAUAAAUGUAAGUAUUCCGUGGGGUUUGUUCCCAAGAAAUAAUAAAUGUAAGUAUUCCGUGGGGUUUGUUCCCAAAAAAUAAUAAAUGCACUGACUACAAAGGGUUUGUUCCCCCCAAAAAAUAAAUGUACAGAUUCCAUGGGGUGUGCUCCCAAAAAUCAUAAGUGCACAGGUUCUAUGGGGUUCGUUCCCAAGAAAUAAUAAAUGUAAGUAUUCCGUGGGGUUUGUUCCCAAGAAAUAAUAAAUGUAAGUAUUUCGUGGGGUUAGUUAAAAAAAUAAUAAUAAAUGCACUGAUUCCGUGGGGUUUGUUCCCCAAAAAAUCAUAAAUAAUAAAUCCACAGAUUCCAAAGGGUUUGUUCCCCCCAAAAAAUAAAUGUACAGAUUCCAUAGGGUUUGUUCCCAAAGAAUAAUAAAUGCAUGGAUUCCAAAGGGUUUGUUCCCCAAAAAAAUAAUAAAUAGUAAAUGCACAGAUUCCAUAGGGUUUCUACCCAAAAAAAUCAUAAAUAAUAAAUGCAGGGAUUCCAUGGGGUUUGUUCCCCAAAAAAAUCAUAUAUGCACGGAUUCCAAAGGGUUUGUUCCCAAAAAAAAAAAGUACAGAUUCCAAAGGGUUUGUUCCCCCCCAAAAAUAAUAAAUGCACGGAUUCCAUAGGGUUGUUUCCAAAAAAUAAUAAACGUACAGAUUCCAAAGGGUUUGUUCCUAAAAAGUCAUAAAUGCAGGGAUUCCGUAGGGUUUCCCACCAAAAAAUAAAUGUAUAUUUAGCCAAGGAUUUUUUCCUCUCCAGAAUUAAAUCCAGUUAUUCCAAUGGAUUACCCCCUCAAAAAAAAAUAAAAUUAAACUCACUUAUUCCAAUGGAUUUUCCCCCCAAAAUUAAAUUCACUUAUUACAAAUGGAUUUUACCCCAAAAAGUAAAUGCACAUAUUUCAAAGGGAUUUUCCCCCCAAAAUUAAAUUCACUUAUUCCAAGGAUUUUUACUCCCAAAAAAUAAAUCACAUCUAACCAAGGAUAUUUCCCCCCAAAACAAAAGCACAUAUUGCAAAUAUUCCCCAAGAAAUCAAUUUAUUGCCGUUAUUCCAAAGGUUUUUCUCACUCCAAACAGAAAUGUACACCUUAAAAAGUGGAUUUUUCCAGGAAAUAAAUUGAAAUAUUCUCUUUAUUCCA
Molecule: long non-coding RNA, 2610 nt
Organism: Passer domesticus (house sparrow)
Lineage: Eukaryota; Metazoa; Chordata; Aves; Passeriformes; Passeridae
Exons: 3
Source: RefSeq, a predicted model, not a curated record